UCUCCCUUCUGCAGGGCUGCGGUCGGCGCCAGGCUCAGGACACCUUACCUCUCCCCUGCCACUCCCGAUGUUCAGGAAGCACACGCUCGGGAUGGCGGCUGGAGACUUCGGCCAGCCCCUGCAGGUAGACAGCUGUGAUGACUGUGUCCUUUGCCGUUGGUCUCAGCACUGAUGGAAAGGUCCAUUUUAACCACAGGCCAAACACGGGUUUUGAAAGUGCCCGUGAACCGCCCCUCCCCUGGGCCCUGCUCAGGAUGCCCUGGCUCUGCCCUCACUGCUAGUUCCAGCCCGGCCCAGGACCACGGGAGACACUCCCUGCCCAACGUGGCAGCUGGCAGAGGAGCUCAUCAGCCUCACCACUGUGAGCAGAUUCCGAGUGAAGGAGCGCGGUGCCACUGGAGGGAUCUGAGUGGCUAAGGAAACACCACGGAAAAGGCCAGCCAAUGGCAGAGACCACCAAGGAGUCUGCGAGGGCCUCCGCCUUGAUCUUCAUUUCCCACUUCGCUGAUCCGCACGUUGAUCAGCUUUUCACUCUCCUCUUGCUUGGGUUUGUCUUUAUUAGAUCACAUAGAUUUCCUUGCGCCCUUGUUCCGACCAUUUCCCUCCACCCGGAGAGAAAUGGACCUUGUAUGCAGCCCCACGUCACACAGCCCAGAAGGGCCAGGUGAGCGCCAUGGUGUGCCACAUCAGGGAGGAGAGCAGUUGAGCACCAGCGGGAAGGACAGAGCCAGGGCGCAGCUCUCCCCUGAGCCAGGCGCCUGCUGUGCUGUGCGGCACCCUCACGACCUCUGGGAUGCCCAGAGAGCUGCAGCUGCUGCCUGGGAGAAGAACAGGCAGCAGACCCCACCCUGUCUCAGAUGGGCUUCCCAUGUGCUGUCUGCCUCACCCUUCCAAUGCUGGGACAAACCCAUGAGACAGUACGUCCUUGGCCUCAGGAGGAAAUGAGUCUGGAGAAGUUUGGUGCCCCUUCUGGGUAGCAUGACUAGACAGAGGACUCUCGGAUGGCGGUGAUGGUGAUGGUGUCCCUGCUGUUUGGACAGCCCUUCUGGAUGCCCACCCUUCAACAGCUCCCCCUUACCCACUUCCCAUGAAUGGCGCUCAGUGGCCAAGCCCCUGGGAAACUCUGAGCCUUCCAUUCCUCAUCCCGACCCGGACUCCUCCAGACCAACCUCACAGCAGCCCAGCUCAUUCCAGGAUGCUCCUCCAUCAUGAUACUUCAAGGGCUGCAGACCCUGGUCAUUUCUCAGAAACUGUAAUCCAACCAAACACUGAGACCUUAC
RNAcentral lists this long non-coding RNA (1280 nucleotides) under Marmota monax (woodchuck). Lineage: Eukaryota; Metazoa; Chordata; Mammalia; Rodentia; Sciuridae. The record is from RNAcentral.